GUCUGACUGUUUGCAAUCCCGUGGACUGUAGCCUGCCAAGCUCCUCUGUCCACGGAAUUCUCCAGGCAAGAAUACUAGAGUGUGUAGCCAUGUCCUUCUCAAGGGGAUCCUCUUGACCUAGGGGACAAACCUGGAUCUUCUGCAUUGCAGUGUGGGUGACUUGAAGAUCAAAGAGAUGAAAUAAUCUGUCCAAGUUCACAAAGCUGGAGGAGGCUUACAGGACAGAUGACAAAAAAGGAGAAGUACACUGCCUGACUGUAACUCCAUCUGAGACAGCAUCAGGAGGAAAGAGGGAUACUGAGGCAGAAUGUGACAUAUCCUGGAAUAUGUUCCCUUUGGAUUUAAAGUGUAUUUCUGGUUGUCCCAUAGAUGCCAUUGAAUGAUCAGUCAUUGUUCAUCAAAUAUUCAUCUUGCAGGUAGUCUCCCACAGCCAGAAGAAGAAAAAGAAAAAAAAAAAAAGAAAGAAAAACCUUAGAGUACAUGCAUAUGAACUUUUAAUUUACAAAAUAAAUCAAAUGUGAUCAGAGUAAUUUAAAGCAUGAAACCUUUGCUAGAGAAGUCC
Bos taurus (domestic cattle) is the source of this 562-nucleotide long non-coding RNA. The record is from Ensembl. NCBI's taxonomy places the organism in Eukaryota, Metazoa, Chordata, Mammalia, Artiodactyla, Bovidae.